CCUUACCUGGGCUUGACAUGCCGCGAGUAGGAAACUGAAAGGGGACCGACCGGUUCAGUCCGGAAGCGGAACAGGUGCUGCAUGGCUGUCGUCAGCUCGUGCCGUGAGGUGUUGGGUUCAGUCCCGCAACGAGCGCAACCCUCGCCCUCUGUUGCCAUCGGGUCAAGCCGGGCACUCUGAGGGGACUGCCAGCGACAAGUUGGAGGAAGGAGAGGAUGACGUCAAGUCAUCAUGGCCCUUAUGCCCAGGGCCACACACGUGCAACAAUGGCCGGUACAGACGGAAGCGAGACCGAGAGGUGGAGCAAAUCCGAGAAAGCCGGUCCCAGUUCGGAUUGAGGUCUGCAACUCGACCUCAUGAAGUCGGAAUCGCUAGUAAUCGCGUAUCAGCACGACGCGGUGAAUACGUUCCCGGGCCUUGUACACACCGCCCGUCACACCACGAAAGUCUGUUGUACCUGAAGUCGGUGCCCCAACCGGAAACGGAGGGAGCCGCCCAAGGUAUGGCCGGUAAU
Molecule: ribosomal RNA, 514 nt
Filed under: uncultured Leptospirillum sp.
Lineage: Bacteria; Pseudomonadati; Nitrospirota; Nitrospiria; Nitrospirales; Nitrospiraceae
Description: bacterial SSU rRNA
Rfam family: Bacterial small subunit ribosomal RNA
Source: RNAcentral